UACGGAGGGUGCGAGCGUUAAUCGGAAUAACUGGGCGUAAAGGGCACGCAGGCGGGCUUUUAAGUGAGAUGUGAAAUCCCCGGGCUUAACCUGGGAAUAGCAUUUCAGACUGGGAGUCUAGAGUGCUUUGGGGGGGGGUGGAAUUCCACGUGUAGCGGUGAAAUGCGUAGAGAUGAGGAGGAACACCGAAGGCGAAGGCAGGCCCUUGGGAAUGUACUGACGCUCAUGUGCGAAAGCGUGGGGAGCAAACAGG
This 253-nucleotide ribosomal RNA is filed under the name uncultured bacterium. Its description in RNAcentral is "partial 16S ribosomal RNA". It matches the Rfam family "Bacterial small subunit ribosomal RNA", at positions 524 to 776 of the family's 1533-position model. The record is from RNAcentral.